RNAcentral lists this ribosomal RNA (498 nucleotides) under uncultured bacterium. RNAcentral's name for it is "partial 16S ribosomal RNA". It matches the Rfam family "Bacterial small subunit ribosomal RNA", at positions 899 to 1397 of the family's 1533-position model. The record is from RNAcentral.
ACUCAAAGGAAUUGACGGGGGCCCGCACAAGCGGUGGAGCAUGUGGUUCAAUUCGACGCAACGCGAAGAACCUUACCUGGGCUCGAAAUGCAGUGCACCGGGGUGGAAACACCCCUUCCCGCAAGGGGUGCUGCAUAGGUGCUGCAUGGCUGUCGUCAGCUCGUGUCGUGAGAUGUUGGGUUAAGUCCCGCAACGAGCGCAACCCUUAUUGCCAGUUGCCAUCAGGUUAUGCUGGGAACUCUGGCGAAACUGCCCCGGAUAACGGGGAGGAAGGUGGGGAUGACGUCAAGUCCUCAUGGCCUUUAUGUCCAGGGCCACACACGUGCUACAAUGGUCGGUACAAACCGUCGCAAACCUGCGAAGGGGAGCUAAUCGGAAAAAGCCGGCCUCAGUCCGGAUUGAAGUCUGCAACUCGACUUCAUGAAGCUGGAAUCGCUAGUAAUCGCGGAUCAGAACGCCGCGGUGAAUACGUUCCCGGGCCUUGUACACACCGCCCGU